GAUGAACGCUAGCGGCAGGCUUAAUACAUGCAAGUCGAGGGGCAGCGGGGUAGCAAUACCUGCCGGCGACCGGCAAACGGGUGCGGAACACGUACACAACCUUCCUUUAAGCGGGGGAGUAGCCCAGAGAAAUUUGGAUUAAUACCCCAUAGAAUGUUAGUGAGGCAUCUCACAGGCAUUAAAGAUUUAUCACUUGAAGAUGGGUGUGCGUCUGAUUAGGUAGUUGGCGGGGAACGGCCCACCAAGCCAGCGAUCAGCAACUGGUGUGAGAGCACGACCAGUCACACGGGCACUGAGACACGGGCCCGACUCCUA
Molecule: ribosomal RNA, 315 nt
Filed under: uncultured bacterium
Lineage: Bacteria
Description: bacterial SSU rRNA
Rfam family: Bacterial small subunit ribosomal RNA
Source: RNAcentral